RNAcentral lists this transfer RNA (66 nucleotides) under Chaetoceros curvisetus. Lineage: Eukaryota; Bacillariophyta; Thalassiosirophyceae; Chaetocerotales; Chaetocerotaceae. The record is from RNAcentral.
GAAAGGCUGCAAAAGGCCAGUAGGCGCUAUCGAUGGACGUAAUGCUGGGCGUGACGCGGUCGUUCG